This 268-nucleotide non-coding RNA is filed under the name Pan troglodytes (chimpanzee). The record is from RNAcentral. Lineage: Eukaryota; Metazoa; Chordata; Mammalia; Primates; Hominidae.
GGGCCCGAGGAGCUUGUUGGGACGUUCAGGAGACCCCGAGGUGGGAGGUUUUGGACACAACCCGCAUCUCCUCAGAGCGCCUUCGACUCUGGAGGCCGCCGUGUGACGGCCUGACACAGGGCUGCGGGAGAACAUACUAUUUCAUAUCAAAUCAGAUUCUCCACGUUACCUACUCAAGUCAUAAGCAUCUGAAGAAAGUGCUCUGUAAAUUCUCAGCAGAAUAUGCUUUCAACAAUUCUUUAAAAACAAUAAAGUCAUAAUAAAAACC